UUCGCAAUGCCCGAAAGGGUGAACGAGCGACGCCGCGUGGGUGAUGAAGGCCUUCGGGUUGUAAAGCCCUGUCACCUGGGAAGAAUGGCGGAGGGUGAAUAGCCACUCUGCUUGACGCUACCAGGAAAGGAAGCACCGGCUAAAUACGUGCCAGCAGCCGCGGUAAUACGUAUGGUGCGAACGUUGUUCGGAAUCACUGGGCAUAAAGAGCACGUAGGCGGUUGAGCAAGUCCAUUGUGAAAUCCCCCGGCUUAACCGGGGAACUGCAGUGGAUACUACUCGACUUGAGUGCAGGAGGGGAGAGUGGAAUUCCAGGUGGAGCGGUGAAAUGCGUAGAUAUCUGGAGGAACGCCGGUGGCGAAAGCGACUCUCUGGUCUGUAACUGACGCUGAGGUGCGAAAGCUAGGGGAGCAAACGGGAUUAGAUACCCCGGUAGUCCUAGCUGUAAACGAUGGGCACUAAGUAGAGGGGUUUU
Molecule: ribosomal RNA, 475 nt
Filed under: uncultured anaerobic ammonium-oxidizing bacterium
Lineage: Bacteria
Description: bacterial SSU rRNA
Rfam family: Bacterial small subunit ribosomal RNA
Source: RNAcentral